CGUCGAUGAUGAAGCUUGUUAGACCUGACAUAUGAUGGAGGUUCUAAUCUGAUUUAAUGAGCCUGAGAC
Molecule: non-coding RNA, 69 nt
Organism: Nematostella vectensis (starlet sea anemone)
Lineage: Eukaryota; Metazoa; Cnidaria; Anthozoa; Actiniaria; Edwardsiidae
Source: Rfam